Molecule: ribosomal RNA, 705 nt
Filed under: uncultured fungus
Lineage: Eukaryota; Fungi
Description: eukaryotic LSU rRNA
Rfam family: Eukaryotic large subunit ribosomal RNA
Source: RNAcentral
GACACGGAUCCCGUCGGUGCUUNGUGAUGCGCUCUCGACGAGUCGAGUUGUUUGGGAAUGCAGCUCAAAUAGGGUGGUAAACUCCAUCUAAAGCUAAAUACAGGCGAGAGACCGAUAGCGAACAAGUACCGUGAGGGAAAGACGAAAAGAACUUUGAAAAGAGAGUUAAACAGUACGUGAAAUCGUUGAAAGGGAAACGCUUGACGUCAGUCUCGUCGGUCGGGGAUCAACCUAGGUCGCUGGGUGCACUUCCCGCUCCGACGGGUCAGCAUCAGUUUCGGAUCCCGUCGUACAAGGGCCGAGGGUGAAUGUGCCACGCUCCGGCGUGUGUUAUAGCCUCUCGUCGUAUGCGGCGGUCGGGACUGAGGAACUCGGCACCGAACAUAAGGUGUCUAGGAUGCUGGCAUAAUGGCUUUAAGCGACCCGUCUUGAAACACGGACCAAGGAGUCCAACAUGCCUGCGAGUGUUUGGGUGCAAAACUCCGAGCGCGAAAUGAAAGUGAAAGUCGAGACCUUCGUCACUGGAGGGCACCGACGCCCGGAUCGAACGUCUUCUGACGUCCUCUCUGCGGUAGAGCAUGCAUGUUGGGACCCGAAAGAUGGUGAACUAUGCCUGAAUAGGGUGAAGCCAGAGGAAACUCUGGUGGAGGCUCGNAGCGAUUCUGACGUGCAAAUCGAUCGUCAAAUUUGGGUAUAGGGGCGAAA